AAGGGGGGUAGAGGUGUUGGAGGCAGACUGAGGCGACGGCAGGCGGACGUCAUGGGCGUCCUGUGGGCUUAGUGGGCGUGCUGCGUGGGCUUAGUAGGCGUGCUUUGUGGGCGUUUGAUGGCAUGCAUGGCUUGUCCGUGCUACGUCGUCGGGCGCCUAUAAAAACAUGUCGACGACCGCCUACAAAAACAUGUCGACGACCGCUCGUGGGGCGACCAUGUGCCGCCGAGGGCAUUUUUCUCGACCGGGCUAGACGCGUUUGGUGUGGAACGGAAGUGCUUGUUUUCGGGCGAGUGGCAAGUUUGAUGGCAUGCAUGGCUCGUCCGUGCUACGUCGUCGGAGGCGCUGCACGCACGGGGCUCGCACGGCCAAGUACUGCCAGACGCUAUAGCUGGACCGGGCGUGGGCGGUGCUCGUGCAAGAACUUUAGUCUGCCUCCAACACCUUUACCAGUGAUUAAAUUCACAACCCCCUUGGGCGGCGCGCAACGGCGGGGAUAGCAUUGGCCUUGCAACGAAGGCAUCGGCGUCGGCGCACGACAUCUCAUGUCGGGCGUCGGGGUGGGUGUUGGGCGUGCAUUUUCGAAGCUAUUCACGUACGGCGCAUGAGUGGUAAUCGGCUUGCGUGGUUAGGUUGGAUCCCUGCUUCGAGCAGCGACGUCCUAACCCGCAUGCCAUGUCGGUGGCGGAUCAAGCGCAAUCUAGGCUUGUCGGACGUCGGUAUCCUGUGCUGCAUACCUAAUGCCUAGGCAUUACUCACGUGCAAUCGGUCGCCUUUCGCCCCUCGCAUUCCAUGUGCGGGGUGAACCCAAAAGCCGCUCUUGCGUCCCACGCCUUCCUCGCUUCGUCGUGCGAUGGCGUGGUCCGCGAGCGGCGGCUGGAAUUCUCGGAUUCGGUAGACGCAGUGGGCAUGGGGCCUUCACCGGCUCCUAUCUGCCCAAAACGAAUGCUCCUUGCGAACGACGGCCGCGCUCGCCUUGAACCCGUCCGUGCCCUUACGGGCGCGGCGGGCUCAUGCGGCGCGCGGCGUCGCUGAGGAAUGC
RNAcentral lists this unclassified non-coding RNA (1042 nucleotides) under Solanum raphanifolium. Its description in RNAcentral is "external transcribed 25S-18S intergenic spacer". The record is from RNAcentral. Lineage: Eukaryota; Viridiplantae; Streptophyta; Magnoliopsida; Solanales; Solanaceae.